Molecule: ribosomal RNA, 468 nt
Filed under: uncultured bacterium
Lineage: Bacteria
Description: partial 16S ribosomal RNA
Rfam family: Bacterial small subunit ribosomal RNA
Source: RNAcentral
GACGAACGCUGGCGGCGUGCUUAACACAUGCAAGUCGAACGGAAAGGCCCUGCUUUUGUGGGGUGCUCGAGUGGCGAACGGGUGAGUAACACGCGAGUAACCUGCCCUUGACUUUGGGAUAACUUCAGGAAACUGGGGCUAAUACCGGAUAGGAGCUCCUGCUGCACGGGGGGGGUUGGAAAGUUUCGGCGGUUGGGGAUGGACUCGCGGGUUAUCAGCUUGUUGGUGGGGUAGUGGCUUACCAAGGCUUUGACGGGUAGCCGGCCUGAGAGGGUGACCGGCCUCAUUGGGACUGCGAUACGGCCCAGACUCCUACGGGAGGCAGCAGUGGGGAAUAUUGCACAAUGGGCGGAAGCCUGAUGCAGCAGCGCCGCGUGCGGGAUAACGGCCUUCGGGUUGUAAACCGCUUUCGCAUGUGACGAAGCGUGAGUGACGGUAAUGGGUAAAGAAGCACCGGCUAACUACGUG